GGCCAGACUCCUACGGGAGGCAGCAGUGAGGAAUAUUGGUCAAUGGCCGAGAGGCUGAACCAGCCAAGUCGCGUGAGGGAAGACGGCCCUACGGGUUGUAAACCUCUUUUGUCGGGGAGCAAAGCGAGUCACGUGUGACUCAUUGAGAGUACCCGAAGAAAAAGCAUCGGCUAACUCCGUGCCAGCAGCCGCGGUAAUACGGAGGAUGCGAGCGUUAUCCGGAUUUAUUGGGUUUAAAGGGUGCGCAGGCGGAGGUGCAAGUCAGCGGUCAAAUGUCGGGGCUCAACCCCGGCCUGCCGUCGGAACUGGGUGCCUUGAGUGGGCGAGAAGUAUGCGGAAUGCGUGGUGUAGCGGUGAAAUGCAUAGAUAUCACGCAGAACCCCGAUUGCGAAGGCAGCAUGCCGGCUUCCGACUGACGCUGAAGCACGAAAGCGUGGGGAUCGAACAGGAUUAGAUACCCCUGUAUU
Molecule: ribosomal RNA, 467 nt
Filed under: uncultured bacterium
Lineage: Bacteria
Description: bacterial SSU rRNA
Rfam family: Bacterial small subunit ribosomal RNA
Source: RNAcentral